This 253-nucleotide ribosomal RNA is filed under the name uncultured bacterium. Its description in RNAcentral is "partial 16S ribosomal RNA". It matches the Rfam family "Bacterial small subunit ribosomal RNA", at positions 524 to 776 of the family's 1533-position model. The record is from RNAcentral.
CACGUAGGGCGCAAGCGUUGUCCGGAAUUAUUGGGCGUAAAGAGCUCGUAGGCGGUCUGUUGCGUCUGCUGUGAAAACCCGGGGCUUAACCCCUGGCUUGCAGUGGAUACGGACAGACUAGAGGUAGGUAGGGGAGAAUGGAAUUCCCGGUGUAGCGGUGAAAUGCGCAGAUAUCGGGAGGAACACCGGUGGCGUAGGCGGUUCUCUGGGCCUUACCUGACGCUGAGGAGCGAAAGCGUGGGGAGCGAACAGG